AUAACAACAACGACGAAACAAAACAAAUUAUUAGGUUUUUAUUUUAUUUUAUUUUAUAAUAUACACUUAUUUAAUUAAUAUCUUUUAUCUUUUGGGGUUUAUAUAUUUAUUUACUACGGUCUGGAUUUUUGGAUAUUUAUUUUUCUGUUUCACGUAGUGUUAGGGAUCCCCGUAUCAGUAGCAAAGCGGGCGAUCUUCUUAUUAGGGUAUACAUAAGUUACGGCGUCGUUUCUAAUCCCCGGUUGAAGCGGACGUCAAACGACGUUUAAUUAUUUUUCUAAAUAUUUUGACUAGACGCUUUCUGUGGAUAAACCAAGAAUAUUCGCCUAUUCGGGACGGCCAUGGCGCGGAAAUAACGGAUGAGUCCUUCGAAAGUUAAAGUCUACGAGUAUGCAAUUUUUUUUUAUAUAUUUUAAAAAAAUAUGUAUUUUUACAUUUAUAUAAAAUUAAACACGAGAAAAGGUUUUUUCUAAAAAAAUUCAAAUAAUAUAAACUUAAUUUGACUAAUAAUAAGCAUUUUCAAUAGUUAUUGAUGAAUCGGACUGAAAGUUAAGUCUUAGGUCAAAUCCAAAUACUUAGGAAUACAACAGAAUAUUUAGCAUAAAUUUGGAGUUUAUUUUUUUUUUAAUUCUUGAUUUGUCAAAUCUGAAAGAAGAAAAAAAAAUCAUUGUUUCAAAAUGAUUAUGGUUUUUGUUUCAUUAAAUAACAAUUAAUAACACUGUUUAAAAUGUAUUAUUGAAGUAAUCACUAAUCAGACACGCCACCUUCAAAAUAUUUCAUCAAUCUCCGCCUUUUAGGUGAUUACAUAGUUGUUGUUUAAUGUUUUAUCCUCUAUCUUUCAAACAACAACAAACGAUAAGAAAGAGUUAAAAAGAAAAUCGCCAAAUUCCAUUUUAAUUUUACAAUUUCCUCGAAAAUCGCAAAGAGAGAGAGAUCGGAGAUAUUUGUUUUGGCAAGGUAAAAGUUGUGGAUAGUUGAUGCGCAUCCUGCAUUUGCAGAUACAAAUCAGUGAUUCUGAAUAUGUGCUGAGUUCUCCCAAAGCCUUUUAAAGCAGAUGAGAUGAGAGUGUCAACCCAUGCAAAUAGGUAUUUCUUGCUGCUGUUUUAGGUUACAUUCUCUAAUGGAAUAUGUUAAUUGGGUUUUAAUAUAAUAUAUCUUGCAUCAGAUUUUCGUUUAACCUGUUGGCUUCAUUGUUGAAU
RNAcentral lists this long non-coding RNA (1199 nucleotides) under Gossypium barbadense (sea-island cotton). RNAcentral describes it as "long non-coding RNA (GBAR_LNC003857)". Lineage: Eukaryota; Viridiplantae; Streptophyta; Magnoliopsida; Malvales; Malvaceae. The record is from RNAcentral.